GCCAGGAUUUGUCAAGGAACAGGAAAGCACAGCAGUUGCACAGUGUCACAGACUCGUGUCCUUGCUGAUAGUUGACCCAAACUUGGUUGAGAAACUGCUUUAUAACAUUACAAGAAACUUCUUCAUAGGCCUACCCAUAUAGCUCUCCAGCCCUUUAAAAGUUCAGCCACUGCUGUCUAGGGAUGUUAGGCAAUUCCAGAGGAUCUGUUUGUGUUACUGUUUUCUUUCUAAGGGUCACUGUCCAAAGGAAUAAACCCGAGUGGAGCUUGAGAGUUCAAAAGGUUGCUUAGCUAGGCUGUCAUGCUGCCAUUUGACUUGAAAUGAUCAAAAGUAGAUAACAAAGCAUCUGGAUUCUGCAAGCUGAAAUGUUGCUCUGCUCCUGUGCAGAGGUCUACGGUUCUCAUCUUUGAUGUCACUUGGACUUAAUGAACUUGCUGGGAAGACUGUGAGUGAAUCAUUGUGUACUACCAUGCACCUAAGGACUCCCACCACGUCAUGCGUAACUUAAAAAGUCUUUUAGAAAGGGUUUAGCAGAAAUGAGCACCUCUAGGAAGUGAAGAAAAAAAGUAAUUCAGCAUUUUGUCAGAUCCUGAACCAUCCUCACAUUUGAUUCUACACCAUGAUAAACCAGAGAACAUGUCCUCAGUUAUACCGGAGGCUUUUCAUCCUUUAGAGGUUUCUCGAUUUCUCAGAUUGUAUUUCUUCUAGUACCUGGUUCCUGUGGUUUAAAUCUUGAGAACUGAGUAAAGAAUCUACAAACAAGUGGGACAGAAAUCUGCUGUUGAACAAGAUGGAUCAGUCAGCCAGCUGAUGGAGAAUGGGAGUAUUAGGACUUAGAGAAAAAGCAAAGAUACCAUGGAAUUCAUGAUGACUGAAUGCACCUGGCUUUACCACAGCACUUAAAAUUCCUCUUUCUUCAGUCUGUGUCCCACACCCUUGCAUUCACUACUUCCAUUCUUCCCCCCCCCAGCCAUUCUGGUUAAAUUACUAUUUGGAAGGACAAAUUCCUCUUCAGCCUGUAGUAGUGUGGCUAUUAAGCCAGACAAAUUUAACUGUUGUGUAAACACACACCUUCUGUGUCAAAUACUAAGGCCACUGAAGAUUGUUGUGCUGUAUGACAAGGCGUCCAGUUUCCUGAUGAGAGCUGGGGGUCACAACACUGAGAAGAACAGACAUUCUUUUGCAACAGGCUCUUCUGCAGAAUUCCCCAUUGCACAACGUGCAAUUAGUGCAGACUGAAUCGCAUAGAUGAAAUCUUCAUUCCAUAUUAGUAAGAAGUCCUGAAAAUUCUGAAAUUUCUGUCCAUGCUGUACACUCCUCAGAGAUCAAGAGAAGGCUCAACAAUCUGCAGAGGUAAGACUAAAAAGCCCUGAAAAAGAUUUCUUCCUUUUCACUGUUUAAAUAGUUCUUCAUAGCUUUCAGUUUCCUGAAUGCCUCUGUAACUCAGAUAGAGGCAUUAAAUCCACAAUAGCUCAAGUAGUAUACAUCCUCCUCUCUGCUAGCCUUCAGCACUUCCUCUGCCUUAGGGCUUACCCAUUCUUUGCACCCCCCACAGGAAAAACACCUUAAAGAGGAACUACAGAAACUAGGUACUUCUCUGCAGUGGGAAUUCCCUUAGAUAUUUCAGUCAGCUGGGUGUGACGUGGCUGGAAAAGAGAGAUGGAACAUGCAGACUGAAAAAAGGGGGAGAUGGAGCAGAGUGCUAAGGAUUGCUUACCCCUCUGUCCAGCAUUUCCUAUCACCCACAACACAUCCUGGCAGAGAAUGCCUUCUCUUUACAAAAGCCUUAAGAAAAGCCUAUUUAAGCAGGGAUGAUUUCAGCUACAACCAAUAAAGGAAAUUAUUUUCUUCCCUUGGCUUCUAAC
RNAcentral lists this long non-coding RNA (1865 nucleotides) under Numida meleagris (helmeted guineafowl). RNAcentral's name for it is "lncRNA (ENSNMEG00000017097.1)". The record is from RNAcentral. Lineage: Eukaryota; Metazoa; Chordata; Aves; Galliformes; Numididae.